This is a long non-coding RNA of Oncorhynchus tshawytscha (Chinook salmon), 1245 nucleotides long. RefSeq lists it as uncharacterized. NCBI's taxonomy places the organism in Eukaryota, Metazoa, Chordata, Actinopteri, Salmoniformes, Salmonidae. The transcript is spliced from 2 exons. The record is from RefSeq and is a predicted model, not a curated record.
AUUGCGUCAAUAAGCGGUGCAGCUUGGCUGGGUCAUGUUUUGGAGGACGCACGGCUCUCGAACUUCGCCUCUCCCGAGUCCGUACGGGAGUUGCAGCGAUGGGACGAGACUAUAACGUACAUUUCUGUCUUAACUACUAGCUUCGUAACAUAAUGGUCCGUUUAAUCAUAAUCGGAAUAAUGCAUUGGUCAUUCACAGAAAAUGUCAAACGGAAAGGGGGGUUCAACCGAUGUCUUGGCUAAAUUCCCAACCUGGCCACAUUCCAUCAUGGCCAACUAAUCAUCUCCCUCAUUCCUAAUUGGCAUAUAUCACUCCUCACCUCUCCACCUGAUAGCUGACGUGGGGUGAGCGUUCUGGCAAAAAAAAUGGUCGCCGUGCAUCACUGAGGUGGGCGCUACACAUUGAUGGUGGAUAAGAUUAAAAUGAAACAACAGAAAGCCCAUCACUGCCUGCACACCCCAGCUUGCCGUCACAGCUAAAUAACCUCUUAAAACUAAUGAAGAUGCGCAGAGAGAAUGGAUGGAGAGAAGCAGCUGAGUAGGUUCAUGGCCAGCACAGGACCACCACUUCUGGCUUCUUCAACUACAGGAUCGUCUGAGACCAGCCACCCAGACAGCUGAUGAAACUGUCUGUAAUAAAGCCCUUUUGUGAGGGAAAAACUCAUUCUGAUUGGCUGGGCCUGGCUCUCCAGUGGGUGGGCCUAUGCCCUCCAAUGCCCAUCCAUGGCUGAAUCCCUGUCCAGUCAUGUGAAAUCCAUAGAUUAGGGCCAAAUGCAUUUAUUUCAAUUGACUGAUUUCCUUAAAUGAACUGUAACUCAGUAAAAUCGUUGACAUUGUUGCAUGUUGGGUUUAUAUUAUUGUUCAGUAUUUAUUUUCACUUAUUUACCCAGUAGGCUAGCACAAUUUUGGUUUCAUGUAUAGGUAUGAAAAUAAACACAACUGAACAAUUAGCUAUUUAGAGCAUUUCCCCAAAAGGCAUGUCCUGUUUUUGCCUUCAUAGAUGAUAACAUUUGUAGGUUAAAACAAAUGUGCAUUGUCAUGCAGUGACAGAACAGACCUAAUUGAUACUGCAAGUCAUUAAUGAUGACUUAGUUGGACUAACCUUUUUGAAUUUGCUGUUGGCCUUAUUCAUCUGCCUGUAUUCCUAAUCCCUACCUGCCCCUGGUCCUAUGAAUUUCCACCUCUCACUGUAUCAUUCUUGCUUGUCCAUCUUCCUCAAUUAAAAUGAGUUAUUCUUACAGAUCAA